This 435-nucleotide ribosomal RNA is filed under the name uncultured bacterium. RNAcentral's name for it is "partial 16S ribosomal RNA". It matches the Rfam family "Bacterial small subunit ribosomal RNA", at positions 28 to 507 of the family's 1533-position model. The record is from RNAcentral.
GAUGAACGCUGGCGGUAUGCUUAACACAUGCAAGUCGAACGGACUCUUCGGAGUUAGUGGCGGACGGGUGAGUAACGCGUGAGAAUCUGGCUUUGGGUUCGGGACAACCACUGGAAACGGUGGCUAAUACCGGAUGUGCCGAGAGGUAAAAGAGAAAUUGCCUGAAGAUGAGGUCGCGUCUGAUUAGCUAGUUGGUGAGGUAAAGGCUCACCAAGGCAGCGAUCAGUAGCUGGUCUGAGAGGAUGACCAGCCACACUGGGACUGAGACACGGCCCAGACUCCUACGGGAGGCAGCAGUGGGGAAUUUUCCGCAAUGGGCGAAAGCCUGACGGAGCAAUACCGCGUGAGGGAAGAAGGCUCUUGGGUUGUAAACCUCUUUUCUUAGGGAAGAACAAAAUGACGGUACCUAAGGAAUCAGCAUCGGCUAACUCCGUG